Molecule: ribosomal RNA, 253 nt
Filed under: uncultured bacterium
Lineage: Bacteria
Description: partial 16S ribosomal RNA
Rfam family: Bacterial small subunit ribosomal RNA
Source: RNAcentral
UACGUAGGGUGCGAGCGUUAAUCGGAAUUACUGGGCGUAAAGCGUGCGCAGGCGGUUCGUUAAGUUCGUUGUGAAAGCCCCGGGCUCAACCUGGGAACUGCAAUGGAAACUGGCGGGCUUGAGUGUGGCAGAGGGGGGUGGAAUUCCGCGUGUAGCAGUGAAAUGCGUAGAGAUGGGGAGGAACACCGAUGGCGAAGGCAGCCCCCUGGGCCAACACUGACGCUCAGGCACGAAAGCGUGGGGAGCAAACAGG